AGAGGUUGGCGCGGGCAGGCGCCUCGCCAACCCGGUCAGGUCCGGAAGGAAGCAGCCGUAACGAGUCCCGCUUGGGUCGUUUGUCCAGCCUCUCAC
Molecule: signal recognition particle RNA, 96 nt
Filed under: Paracoccus sulfuroxidans
Lineage: Bacteria; Pseudomonadati; Pseudomonadota; Alphaproteobacteria; Rhodobacterales; Paracoccaceae
Description: Bacterial small signal recognition particle RNA
Rfam family: Bacterial small signal recognition particle RNA
About the family: The signal recognition particle (SRP) is a universally conserved ribonucleoprotein involved in the co-translational targeting of proteins to membranes. Archaeal SRP consists of a 7S RNA and homologues of the eukaryotic SRP19 and SRP54 proteins.
Source: RNAcentral